Molecule: ribosomal RNA, 468 nt
Filed under: uncultured bacterium
Lineage: Bacteria
Description: partial 16S ribosomal RNA
Rfam family: Bacterial small subunit ribosomal RNA
Source: RNAcentral
GACGAACGCUGGCGGCGUGCUUAACACAUGCAAGUCGAACGGAAAGGCCCUGCUUUUGUGGGGUGCUCGAGUGGCGAACGGGUGAGUAACACGUGAGUAACCUGCCCUUGACUUUGGGAUAACUUCAGGAAACUGGGGCUAAUACCGGAUAGGAGCUCCUGCUGCAUGGUGGGGGUUGGAAAGUUUCGGCGGUUGGGGAUGGACUCGCGGCUUAUCAGCUUGUUGGUGGGGUAGUGGCUUACCAAGGCUUUGACGGGUAGCCGGCCUGAGAGGGUGACCGGCCACAUUGGGACUGAGAUACGGCCCAGACUCCUACGGGAGGCAGCAGUGGGGAAUAUUGCACAAUGGGCGGAAGCCUGAUGCAGCAACGCCGCGUGCGGGAUGACGGCCUGUGGGUUGUAAACCGCUUUCGCCUGUGACGAAGCGUGAGUGACGGUAAUGGGUAAAGAAGCACCGGCUAACUACGUG